CCUACGUGAGGCAGCAGUAGGGAAUCUUCCACAAUGGGCGAAAGCCUGAUGGAGCAACGCCGCGUGGGUGAAGAAGGUCUUCGGAUCGUAAAACCCUGUUGUUAGAGAAGAAAGUGCGUGAGAGUAACUGUUCACGUUUCGACGGUAUCUAACCAGAAAGCAACGGCUAACUACGUGCCAGCAGCCGCAGUAAUACGUAGGUGGCAAGCGUUAUCCGGAUUUAUUGGGCGUAAAGUGAACGCAGGCGGUCUUGUAAGUCUGAUGUGAAAGCCUUCGGCUUAACCGGAGUAGUGCAUUGGAAACUGGGAGACUUGAGUGCAGAAGAGGAGAGUGGAACUCGAUGUGUAGCGGUGAAAUGCGUAGAUAUAUGGAAGAACACCAGUGGCGAAAGCGGCUCUCUGGUCUGUAACUGACGCUGAGGUUCGAAAGCGUGGGUAGCAAACAGGAUUAGAUACCCUUGUAGUC
RNAcentral lists this ribosomal RNA (465 nucleotides) under uncultured bacterium. Its description in RNAcentral is "partial 16S ribosomal RNA". It matches the Rfam family "Bacterial small subunit ribosomal RNA", at positions 338 to 795 of the family's 1533-position model. The record is from RNAcentral.